UUCUGAAGCCUCUGACCUCUUAUCAUUAAUUUUAGAAUUUAAAUGCCUGUUAAUUUCCCCCUUUUAUUGCUGAGCUCCACACAGCAGCAUGUUCAAUGUCAAUGGGGAUAUCCUUUGGAGACAUUCAGUAUAUCAAAUCUGAAGGUCGCUGGAAAUCUGGGCACUUAGAGCAGGAGAGGAGGACCAGGAGAGAGGGGAAGGGCACCGUGGGGCACAGAGCGAGGUUGAGAAGAGGCUUCUUUGGCUGAAAUUGAGAGAUGAGCAGAAGACCUGAGUCUUCUGUCUGUCCUUGGCCGGUGCACACACGAAUAAGGGCUUUAGGGAGGAAACACACAUGACUCUUAGGAAAAUGGAAGCAGUGAUUUGAAGGAGCCUCCCUCACUCCCUGUGUCUGGCACCCUCUUUUUCCAUCUGAUGACCGAAAGGGGCUUACCAGGAGCUAUCACACAGCAGUGGACAGCACACAGAUCCUGGAGUCUGGCCGACCCGGGUUCAAGUUCUGCUUCCCUUGCUUUCGAGUGAGAAGACCUUCGAUACAUAUCUUCACUGAACCUCCAUUUGCUUGUGUGGAAAAUGGAGAACCUUGGCUGAUGGAGCUGAUGGGAUUUAUGGUGACUGGUGAUGAGCUUAAGUUUUAACCAUCUAAGGCAUCCCCCAGCACUGGAGGGUGUUUUGAGCCCAAACCCUCUGGGGGAAGAAUCAAGGCAGCUUCUUACUUGGACCGGAGACCCUAGAAGAGCGCUGUGGCCGAGACCAGACUGGGGACCUAAUGUGUCCAAAUGAUAAGCCCCUAGGCGUCACUGCUGGCCUCUUAGCUAAUCUGACACAGUCCCCUCACUUUCUCAGAGAGUGAAGGGAGGAAAAUUGGCAGAGAACAGAAAGAGCGUGCCUGUCAUUGCCAACAGGGAGAGGAGAGUCCACAUGGGACUUCUCUGGCCCACUCCAUGGCAUCUGCCUGACCUGCCCUGUUCAGGAACAGGCACUGCCAUGCGUUGGCAUGGGCCCAGGAGGAGACAUGACCUUGACCGUCCCAUCCCUUCAAGACGCCGGCCACGAGCUCACCCUUUGCA
Molecule: long non-coding RNA, 1070 nt
Filed under: Equus caballus (horse)
Lineage: Eukaryota; Metazoa; Chordata; Mammalia; Perissodactyla; Equidae
Description: lncRNA (ENSECAG00000050940.1)
Source: RNAcentral